Ictidomys tridecemlineatus (thirteen-lined ground squirrel) is the source of this 1044-nucleotide non-coding RNA. The record is from RefSeq and is a predicted model, not a curated record. Lineage: Eukaryota; Metazoa; Chordata; Mammalia; Rodentia; Sciuridae.
CAUGCCAGAGCUUGGAAAUAUGAGGAUAAGCAGAAGAGGGAAGAGGGUCUCUGCCUACAGACAGACCCUUCUCAUUCAGACCAGAGGGAAAAGACACACUCACACACCAGCCACAGUGUGGCCUGGCAUGAGAGGACCUCAGGACAGGGCUGAGUACCAGCUUGGAGACCUUAGGAAAACAUGACCCAGCAAGAUGAGGAAACCAAAUGACCAGAUGUCAGCCUGAGAAAGAGAAUAGUGGUGUCAUCACCCAGCACUGCAAGACAGUGAAGUACAGGAGACACAGAAGCUCCACAACUCAAGAGGUGGCCCUUCUGCAAGGAACUUGCUACUGUCCAAUCUCCUAGAAGCUGUAAUUUUCAAAGCCACACUCUUUAUCAUCUCUAACCCCAAACUAGACUCUCUACUUUGAAUCAUGAUUUCAGCUUUUGCCACCAAACCCAGAAAAAAAUCUCAUUUCCCUCUGCGAGUAGGAUUUAGAGUUGGUGGUCAGGCAGGGAAAUUUGGUGCCGUGAUGAAUCAUUGCUUUGGCUGGAUCUUUGACCGAGUUCUUCCCCAUUUGCUUGAAAAGUUAAGGAGAAGGCCAGAUAAUAAGCAGGAAAAUUCAUAAGUGGUGGGAUAGUUUCUUCAAAGAAUGCUGAUCAAAUAUCCAUGCUAACCUUAAGGACAGACUGUUGUUCUAAAUGCCCCUCGUGUGCACCUUUUAACUUGGUAUGAAGGAGUUUGUGGUCAUCCAAUGAGAGGCAGCAAGUUGAGUAAAGGAUUGGGAGAGGUAAUGACUCAUGCCAUGGAUCAAGAAGGAUUCCAGGGACUGAAAUUUUGCCUUAGUGGUAGAGCACUUGCCUCCCAUGUGGGAGGUACUGGGUUGGAUCCUCAGCACCACGUAAAAACAAAUCAACAAAAUAAGGAUGUUUGUCCAUCUACAAGUAAAACUCAAUAAAUAAAGGAUCCCUGAAGUCCUCACAAGCUGGCAGGACAUUCCCAUGUAACAAAAUGUAACUUAGAAAAUGGAAUAAAUGUAGCCUUCUUAAAGGCAAACAGCAA